AUGAUGCAAUCACUUAAGCUAGACUUGAAAAACUGUUUGCUUGGACAUGAUCAUACAUACCAUGUUAUUGGCAUUUCUCUCAUUUAUGAUGAUGACACUUAUUUUCCUCAUGCUAGACCUAUGCUUAAUGAAACAUCUCAUUCUCAUGCUAGUCUGGAGGUUAAUGAUUCACAUCAUCCUUAUGCUAGCAUGGAGCUUACUGAUUUAUACCAUCCUAAACAUGUGCUUUAUAGCUAUGCUUAUGUAAUUGGGUAUUCGAUUGGUGAUUUAGAGGGCAUCGACCCUGUCACUUGUAUUGUCUCUUUGGUGAGUUCUUUUUCAGGUUUUUGCAUGUGCACCAUUCAAUAUAUGCUGACCAGGUUCGAGGUGACAUUCCUUGGGACCCCGGUGGAUUCAGAGCAUGGUGAAGGGGGGAAGCAAUGGACACACGAAGAAGAGAGAAGCUGGAGCUUGCAAGUGGAAGCAAAAGGAGAAGAGCUGCAGUUCAAAGAGUGA
This 495-nucleotide ribosomal RNA is filed under the name Triticum aestivum (bread wheat). RNAcentral describes it as "partial small subunit ribosomal RNA". The record is from RNAcentral. Lineage: Eukaryota; Viridiplantae; Streptophyta; Magnoliopsida; Poales; Poaceae.